Molecule: ribosomal RNA, 465 nt
Filed under: uncultured bacterium
Lineage: Bacteria
Description: partial 16S ribosomal RNA
Rfam family: Bacterial small subunit ribosomal RNA
Source: RNAcentral
GACGAACGCUGGCGGCGUGCUUAACACAUGCAAGUCGAACGGAAAGGCCCUUUUGGUGGUACUCGAGUGGCGAACGGGUGAGUAACACGUGAGUAACCUGCCCUUGAUUUCCGGUUAACUUCCGGAAACUGGGUCUAAUUCCGGAUAGGAAUCCUUGCUGCCUGGAGGGGGUUGGUAAGCUUCGGCGGUUUUGGAUGGACUCGCGGCUUAUCGGUUUGUUUGUGGGGUAGUUGCUUACCAAGGCUUUGACUGGUAGGCGGCCUGAGGGGGCGACCGGCCACAUUAGGGCUGAGAGACGGGCCAGACUUCUUCGGGGGGCAGCAGUGGGGGAUAUUGCACAAUUGGCGGAAGCCUGAUGCGGCAACGCCGCGGGCGGGAUGACGGCCUUCGGGUUGUAAACCGGUUUCAGCAGGGGCGAAGCUUGUGGUGACGGUACCUGCAAAAGAAGCACCGGCUAACUACGUG